Molecule: ribosomal RNA, 360 nt
Filed under: uncultured bacterium
Lineage: Bacteria
Description: bacterial SSU rRNA
Rfam family: Bacterial small subunit ribosomal RNA
Source: RNAcentral
AACGAACGCUGGCGGCAGGCCUAACACAUGCAAGUCGAACGCCGUAGCAAUACGGAGUGGCAGACGGGUGCGUAACACGUGGGAACAUACCCUUUGGUUCGGAAUAACUCAGGGAAACUUGAGCUAAUACCGGAUAAGCCCUUACGGGGAAAGAUUUAUCGCCAAAGGAUUGGCCCGCGUCUGAUUAGCUAGUUGGUGAGGUAACGGCUCACCAAGGCGACGAUCAGUAGCUGGUCUGAGAGGAUGAUCAGCCACACUGGGACUGAGACACGGCCCAGACUCCUACGGGAGGCAGCAGUGGGGAAUAUUGCACAAUGGGCGGAAGCCUGAUGCAGCGACGCCGCGUGAGGGAUGACGGCC